Long non-coding RNA from Aptenodytes forsteri (emperor penguin), 1044 nucleotides. RefSeq lists it as uncharacterized. The record is from RefSeq and is a predicted model, not a curated record. NCBI's taxonomy places the organism in Eukaryota, Metazoa, Chordata, Aves, Sphenisciformes, Spheniscidae. The transcript is spliced from 3 exons.
GUGUCGGAGCCGUGGUCCCAUCACACAAGAUCACGCUGAGCAUCCUGCAGCUGCUUUCAGCAGAGUGGACAUGCAGCAAACGAGCUUGUUUCCAACUCCUAGAAGAGAUGGAAUCACUCCAGAGUCAAAAUGCUGUUGCAAGUGGAUGUAGGACAUAGAACUGAGGUCAUGCAGUCAGGACACAGGAAGGCAGCCCGAUUUUAGCACUUGAAUGCAGUUGGAUCGAGCAUAGAGGAAGAGGCUGUUGAGCCCGAGUGUUGGUUUCAGAAUCUGCUGCCAGUCAUGCUGGCGGCAAUUGUGCUUUUAUUUAAUUAUCUUGACUUCCCACUGCUCUAAAAAAAGAAGUGUGGUACCAGAUCAAGAGCAAGAGAAGUUCCUUGGUUUUGAUGAAUAAAUUGCUUCUGACGUGUUCAUUGCCCUACGUGCGUGCAUGCUACAAAGGUUAACAACACUGACACUGGAGUAACUGCCCCCAAAUCCAACCGCACCUGAAAGAAGAUCCUGGAAACAGACAGGGGAUCUCUCCAGCGCCUGGCUGGGAUCAUUGUUACCUCCUGCUUCUGUGCAGCAGCCGGAGGCCGUUGGUUGAUUGCCUGUUGGUUAUGUUGCAUAAAUACAUGGUGUGUGCAAAGCCCCCUGCGAAGGCUUGGUUAUUUGCAGGGCUGCAUCCCCCUCUACCGGCGGACAUUUCGGUGAAAUCAUUUUCUCUCAGCCAGUGUUCAAACAGGAGGAAAGUCUGUAGUCUUUCUGAUGGGACUAAGAGUGCAUGCAUAUAUUUUGCUUACGUUUUAAAACAUGCAAGUAGCACGUGCAUCGCCUUCUAAAGUCUUCUGUCCACAUCUGAAUAUUUUAGCAGGAUAGACAGUUUUACCACAAACAUGGCUCUAUUAGGAAUGAGAUGGCUUUGGGGAAGAGCAAUAUUAAAAAGUAUUCCAAGCUGUGAAAGUAUAACCAAAUUCUUGCAAUCCCCUUUGAAUGUAAAUAAUAAGGUAUGAAUUUAAGAUUAUUUUGAAAGGACAUAUUUUACAAAAUUGAAAUAAACAC